AAAUAUCCCCACCAGCUGCGCUGGUAGAAUUUCCAAAUCAUGUCAGCCAGGGUGAGGUGCUGAUGGAUUUGGUGGAAGGAGGGAGGGAGGGCCUGCUGCAGAGACGUCCAAAGGUGUGAUCCUGGCCUCAUAACAGUAGACGAUUCGUAUUUUUAGCUACUCAAACUGCUCUUUCUCAAUCUAUUCUUCUUUCAGAUGAAAAGAAUGUCAGGCAAGGCAGCUGGUGGAUUUCCUGAGAUAGAGGAAGCUGAACAGAAGGACUUCUCAUUGAAGGGUAACAGAAGAGCCACUGCCCUGGGUGAUGAAAGGAGCCCACGUCCUUCUUCGAGACCUUCCCCUGAUGGAGUGGAAAAGACCGCCCUAAAGCCAGAUCCGGUAGGAAAAGAUAACCGUACAGUAGUAGAAUAAUGGACUUGGACUCUUUGAGUUCAGCCCCCUUGACCUUGAGAGACCUCCAGGGAAGGUUCUCUUGGUCUCCUGGGUCUGAAAUCAUUAUAAGGCUCUUGGCUUGUUCAGAUUGAGGCUCAUGUCGUCCAGAAUCCUGUUUCCCUCAGAGUCGAAGCAGAUGUCUUUGGGGAGCUCAUAUCCAAGACGUCAGGAAAUUCGCUCUCUUCUGCUGUUUUUCUGCAGCGACCCUGUAUCCCAGUGUGCAUUGCCUGUGAUCGUACAGAUGCCAUUGGGAAGCAUCAUUCCUUGUCACUGUUCGUUGUCUUAGUCUAUUACUCUAUACGAUGAGGGCUUUUAGUCUUCCUUUUAGGCCUUUUUAAACUCAGGGGUCACACGCAAGAGCACCAGGAGCAGGACUGGAGCAUCCUGAGUCGGGUAGUCCCCUUUCAAGCUGUCCGUCAAAGGAGAAGUGAUUAGAAGGGAGGAGGAAAGACACAAACACACCACUGGUUCUCUCAAAUCACAUUGUUCUUUUCUCAGAACUAGAAAUAGUUCCUGAAGUGGGAAGAAAUGAGGAUGUCGUUGUGAUGAUCGCCCACGUCUCUCAGGCUAUUCUUAUUCAUGAGCUGAUUUGCAUGAGCCUAUGAGAGGACUGGAGAGGCAGAGUCAGCAGCUGCAUGGGGAUUGGCAGGAGAGAGAAACUGAGGUAGAGAUUGGGAUGAGGUCUAUAUAGAGUUAGGAGUGGUUAGUUAGAGAGAGGGAACAGAUACAGAGUGAUAAGGCUGGUUAAGAAAAUAGGUAGAUAAUGAUAUGACAAGAGAAAAGUAUGUAUAGUGCUGCCUCGACUUACAGACGUACUGAC
Molecule: long non-coding RNA, 1249 nt
Filed under: Pogona vitticeps (central bearded dragon)
Lineage: Eukaryota; Metazoa; Chordata; Lepidosauria; Squamata; Agamidae
Description: lncRNA (ENSPVIG00000008417.1)
Source: RNAcentral